Molecule: unclassified non-coding RNA, 333 nt
Filed under: Hevea brasiliensis (rubber tree)
Lineage: Eukaryota; Viridiplantae; Streptophyta; Magnoliopsida; Malpighiales; Euphorbiaceae
Source: RNAcentral
UCUUCUUAAUUGUACUGAAAUUAGCUUGGAAAUGGUUUCUUUUGCAUGGUUGUUUCUGAGGAGGGGGGCGAGGGGUUGUUUGGUUGGUUGGUUUGUUUAGGGUUUUCUAAAGUUUGGGAGUUUGGUUUUAAUCUGCUCUACUUCUAUAUUAUCAUGCUAUGAAUUUUGCUUCUCUUUGUGUUUUGUUAAUUUACACUUGAGCGUAUCUUCAAUUCCAUAGCUUGAAUAAGUUUGCUAACUUCUGAAUAGAUCCUUCUGCUUUUUUUCAUUGCUUCUGUGUUUUUGGGUAAGUGUUUGCUUUUUGGUUAGAUUUUAUUUUUAUUUCUGCGCGAG